AACGAACGCUGGCGGCGUGCCUAACACAUGCAAGUCGUGCGGGAAAGUUCCUUCGGGAGCGAGUAAAGCGGCGCACGGGUGAGUAACACGUAGGUAACCUGCCCCCCAGUCUGGAACAACUAGAGGAAACUCUAGCUAAUGCCGGAUGAGACCACGAUCCCUUCGGGGGUUGCGGCCAAAGAUGGCCUCUACUUGUAAGCUAUCGCUGAGGGAUGGGCCUGCGGGCCAUUAGCUUGUUGGUGAGGUAACGGCUCACCAAAGCUGUGAUGGCUAGCUGGUCUGAGAGGAUGACCAGCCACACUGGGACUGAGACACGGCCCAGACUCCUACGGGAGGCAGCAGUGGGGAAUAUUGCGCAAUGGGCGAAAGCCUGUCGCAGCGACGCCGCGUGGGUGAUGAAGGCCU
This 405-nucleotide ribosomal RNA is filed under the name uncultured bacterium. Its description in RNAcentral is "bacterial SSU rRNA". It matches the Rfam family "Bacterial small subunit ribosomal RNA", at positions 29 to 417 of the family's 1533-position model. The record is from RNAcentral.